GACGAACGCUGGCGGCAUGCCUAACACAUGCAAGUCGAACGGAGAUAGCAAUAUCUUAGUGGCGGACGGGUGAGUAAUGGAUGAGUAAUCUGCCUCAUACACUGGGAUAACACAGAGAAAUUUGUGCUAAUACCGGAUGAGACCACACUACCGCAUGGUAGAGGGGUCAAAGGGCUUUACUGGUAUGAGAUGAGCUCAUCUCCCAUUAGCUAGUUGGUAAGAUAACAGCCUACCAAGGCGACGAUGGGUAGCCGGCCUGAGAGGGUGAACGGCCACAUUGGAACUUAGACACGGUCCAAACUCCUACGGGAGGCAGCAGUGGGGAAUAUUGGGCAAUGGGCGAAAGCCUGACCCAGCAAUGCCGCGUGAGUGAAGAAGGUCUUCGGAUUGUAAAGCUCUUUGAUUAGGGACGAAAAAAUGACUGUACCUAAAGAACAAGCCCCGGCUAACUACGUGCCAGCAGCCGCGGUAAUACGUAGGGGGCAAGCGUUGUCCGGAAUUAUUGGGCGUAAAGGGUGCGUAGGUGGUUUAGCAAGUUGGAAGUGAAAUACCCAGGGCUUAACUCGGGUGCUGCUUUCAAAACUACUAGACUUGAGUGUGGGAGAGAAUAGUGGAAUUCCUAGUGUAGCGGUGGAAUGCGUAGAUAUUAGGAGGAACACCAGUGGCGAAGGCGACUAUUUGGCCCAUAACUGACACUGAGGCACGAAAGCGUGGGGAGCAAACAGG
Molecule: ribosomal RNA, 726 nt
Filed under: uncultured bacterium
Lineage: Bacteria
Description: bacterial SSU rRNA
Rfam family: Bacterial small subunit ribosomal RNA
Source: RNAcentral